UACGUAGGGGGCUAGCGUUGUCCGGAAUCAUUGGGCGUAAAGAGCGUGUAGGCGGCCCGGUAAGUCCGCUGUGAAAGUCGGGGGCUCAACCCUCGGAUGCCGGUGGAUACUGUCGGGCUCGAGUACGGAAGAGGCGAGUGGAAUUCCUGGUGUAGCGGUGAAAUGCGCAGAUAUCGGGAGGAACACCAAUGGCGAAGGCAGCUCGCUGGGACGGUACUGACGCUGAGGCGCGAAAGCGUGGGGAGCAAACAGG
Molecule: ribosomal RNA, 253 nt
Filed under: uncultured bacterium
Lineage: Bacteria
Description: partial 16S ribosomal RNA
Rfam family: Bacterial small subunit ribosomal RNA
Source: RNAcentral